GAUGAACGCUAGCUACAGGCUUAACACAUGCAAGUCGAGGGGAAACGAUAUUGGAAGCUUGCUUCCGAUAGGCGUCGACCGGCGCACGGGUGAGUAACGCGUAUCCAACCUGCCCACCACUUGGGGAUAACCUUGCGAAAGUAAGACUAAUACCCAAUGAUAUCUCUAGAAGACAUCUGAAGGAGAUUAAAGAUUUAUCGGUGAUGGAUGGGGAUGCGUCUGAUUAGCUUGUUGGCGGGGUAACGGCCCACCAAGGCGACGAUCAGUAGGGGUUCUGAGAGGAAGGUCCCCCACAUUGGAACUGAGACACGGUCCAAACUCCUACGGGAGGCAGCAGUGAGGAAUAUUGGUCAAUGGACGAGAGUCUGAACCAGCCAAGUAGCGUGCAGGAUGACGGCCCUAUGGGUUGUAAACUGCUUUUAUAAGGGAAUAAAGUGAGCCUCGUGAGGCUUUUUGCAUGUACCUUAUGAAUAAGGACCGGCUAAUUCCGUGCCAGCAGCAGCCGCAG
RNAcentral lists this ribosomal RNA (508 nucleotides) under uncultured bacterium. Its description in RNAcentral is "partial 16S ribosomal RNA". It matches the Rfam family "Bacterial small subunit ribosomal RNA", at positions 28 to 523 of the family's 1533-position model. The record is from RNAcentral.